AAUACAAAUUUAUUACUUUUCAGGGUACUGUAUAUAGGGUUCAACAAUGUGGUUCCGGAAGUGUAAAUCCCAUUCAUUUUCUCCAUAAGGAUUUUGAUUAUUUGCCAUAAUGUCUAAACCAUA
Molecule: long non-coding RNA, 123 nt
Organism: Etheostoma spectabile (orangethroat darter)
Lineage: Eukaryota; Metazoa; Chordata; Actinopteri; Perciformes; Percidae
Exons: 3
Source: RefSeq, a predicted model, not a curated record